Molecule: long non-coding RNA, 235 nt
Filed under: Panax ginseng (ginseng)
Lineage: Eukaryota; Viridiplantae; Streptophyta; Magnoliopsida; Apiales; Araliaceae
Description: long non-coding RNA (PGIN_LNC019161)
Source: RNAcentral
UUCUCUCUAUCAUCCACACAUGGGCCCAAAAAGAGCACGUGCAAUCUCACUCUCGUCUUCAUCAGAAUCUUCCUCCGAUCACCAAGAAGAGGAUGUCUUGGACGAGAGUAAAUUUAUCAGUUUGGAAGCCCAACACGACUAUUAUCGGAGUGUGGCUAAAUCUUUUGUGAAGGAACGGGGUCUUCUACCUGCGAAGCAGGAUGGCCAACUCUGGUAUAUAUGAUACACGAACGAG